Molecule: ribosomal RNA, 348 nt
Filed under: Photobacterium kishitanii
Lineage: Bacteria; Pseudomonadati; Pseudomonadota; Gammaproteobacteria; Vibrionales; Vibrionaceae
Description: bacterial SSU rRNA
Rfam family: Bacterial small subunit ribosomal RNA
Source: RNAcentral
ACUUUAAUUGAAGAGUUUGAUCAUGGCUCAGAUUGAACGCUGGCGGCAGGCCUAACACAUGCAAGUCGAGCGGUAACAGAAAAGAAGCUUGCUUCUUUUGCUGACGAGCGGCGGACGGGUGAGUAAUGCCUGGGAAUAUACCCUGAUGUGGGGGAUAACUAUUGGAAACGAUAGCUAAUACCGCAUAAUCUCUUCGGAGCAAAGAGGGGGACCUUCGGGCCUCUCGCGUCAGGAUUAGCCCAGGUGGGAUUAGCUAGUUGGUGGGGUAAUGGCUCACCAAGGCGACGAUCCCUAGCUGGUCUGAGAGGAUGAUCAGCCACACUGGAACUGAGACACGGUCCAGACUCC